CCUACGGGAGGCUGCAGUGAGGAAUAUUGGUCAAUGGACGAGAGUCUGAACCAGCCAAGUAGCGUGAAGGAUGACUGCCCUAUGGGUUGUAAACUUCUUUUAUAUGGGAAUAAAACGUUCCACGUGUGGGAUUUUGUAUGUCCCAUAUGAAUAAGGAUCGGCUAACUCCGUGCCAGCAGCCGCGGUAAUACGGAGGAUCCGAGCGUUAUCCGGGUUUAUUUGGUUUAAAGGGAGCGUAGCUGGAUUGUUAAGUCAGUCGUGAAAGUUUGGGGCUCAACCGUAAAAUUGCAGUUGAAACUGGCAGUCUUGAGUGCAGUAGAGGUAAGUGGAAUUCGUGGUGUAGCGGUGAAAUGCUUAGAUAUCAGGAAGAACUCCGAUGGCGAAGGCAGUUCACUGGACUGCAACUGACGCUGAGGCUCGAAAGUGUGGGGAUCAAACAGGAUUAGAUACCCGAGUAGUC
This 460-nucleotide ribosomal RNA is filed under the name uncultured bacterium. RNAcentral describes it as "partial 16S ribosomal RNA". It matches the Rfam family "Bacterial small subunit ribosomal RNA", at positions 338 to 795 of the family's 1533-position model. The record is from RNAcentral.